Long non-coding RNA from Gadus macrocephalus (Pacific cod), 1154 nucleotides. RefSeq lists it as uncharacterized. The record is from RefSeq and is a predicted model, not a curated record. The transcript is spliced from 4 exons. NCBI's taxonomy places the organism in Eukaryota, Metazoa, Chordata, Actinopteri, Gadiformes, Gadidae.
CGUCCACAGCCCGCUUAAACAGCUCCAAUACCAGGCUUAGACAACACAACCAGUCAUUUUCGCAUUAAUUGAUCGAUGACUAUCUUCUCAAGUGAGUUUGGUGGAAAGGCCGAAAUGUUUGCAUGAUCAUCUAUUUAUAGAGCGGAUCCAUCCGCCACUCUCACUGCUAGUUCCAUGUGCGCAUCGUCGGCUCAUCGAAAUCGAAAAGCUAUUGCAAAUCAAAUGGAAAAGACAAGGGCUUGAGUACCAGGGCAACCCCCUAUUAAAAGGCCAGAAGUGUGGAUUAUCGGGGACAGCUACGUCCGCCGUGGAGAGGAGAGAGCCAGGGAAACCUGUGGCCCCCACCUUGGCCUAGAGGCCAGGGUCAGUUGGUUUGGCUGGGGCGGGCUGAGAUGGAAGACCCUCAUCCCUUUCUUCCUGCAGUCCCUGAGAGGAAGAACAGCCCCGGAUGUCCUGCUCAUCCACUGUGGCGGCAACGACCUCGGACGCCUGGAGGGAGUUGAGGUUGUUGCCGCAAUGAAGCAGGACCUGCAGUACCUCCACCGGCAGUUCCCAGCAAUGCAGAUCGUCUACUCUAACAUCAACGAGGAAGCUAAAUCACCCUAGGAAAUGGGUGAACAGUGUGAUGAACGCAUUUGUUAGUGUAGAGCUAGGAGGCAACAGCGUAGAGCAUCAUGGAAUAAGGUUAAACUGCUGUGGUUUAUACUUAAAAGACAAGGUUCAUUUCACCAAUAGGGGAAAUUAAAUUUUUUUAAAAAGCAUUUCACAGUCUCUUAAAGCGAUAAUCCAGAGUGGGUGAGACUGACACUUUUAGGGCCAAUGCCUUCAGCCUUCUCCAAUCUGAAUUGUAAUUUCAACAGUUUUCAAUACUGUCAAAUAUAAUCCAGGUCCUUAAUCUUUAUUCGAUGAUGCUCUUCUCUGCGUAUUUGAUAAAUCAGUAAUUAUAACGUUUUUGGUAAUCAUUUGUGUUUAUCACACUGUUCAUUCAUUUCACUGUUCUUCCUCUCAUUCCUUUCCUUACUUCUUCUUAACCUGUCUUUGUUUCCCCUUCCACACUUCUGCCCCAGCCAAACAGCCAAAAAAAAAGAAAAAUAAAGUGUUUUGUUAAAAUUUGGGGUGGGGGGGUCUUGUAAUAAAAGCUUUUUUUAUUGUAA